UUAGUCACGCCCACUUUCAGACCUGAACUUUUGGUAGCGUCUGCUUCCACUCAGAAGACACUUGCUCUUAUUCUAACAUUUUGUCUCUGCCCUGCUCCCUUAGAUGAGGAUGUAUUUAUGCCUUUAUUUAUCCCCCUAUCACCCACUAAAGCUUAGCUUGCCUCUGAACAGUUCAGAUCAGGCUUUCUAAUGUGAACAAGCGAGUGGAAUCUAAGAAGAACCCAGCAUUCCUGCCAAAAUACUGUUUUCCACCCAUUCCACACAGACUUCAUAGGUAAGUCCUGUUGCUUUUUGGGCAGCCAUUUACGAAACUUGAAAAACUGUGUGCAAUGUGACAAAGAAGAAAUGAAAUCAAACCCUUCCACAAUAUUUGAAGAUGAAGACUGUUAAAAGUAAAAGGUAGGAAGGUAAAGUUGGUUUAUCAAGUUUAAAACAGGGUUACUUCCGGCAAUCCAAACUUAUAGGCAAAUCCGCUUUAUGGAUUUCCCUAUAGAUAAAGCAGGCAAUAUAGAAUAAUUGUUUGUAACUUUAGAGAGGGUGAAGAAUUA
Molecule: long non-coding RNA, 548 nt
Organism: Crotalus tigris (Tiger rattlesnake)
Lineage: Eukaryota; Metazoa; Chordata; Lepidosauria; Squamata; Viperidae
Exons: 3
Source: RefSeq, a predicted model, not a curated record